This 208-nucleotide ribosomal RNA is filed under the name uncultured Desulfocapsa sp. RNAcentral describes it as "partial 16S ribosomal RNA". It matches the Rfam family "Bacterial small subunit ribosomal RNA", at positions 1174 to 1382 of the family's 1533-position model. The record is from RNAcentral. Lineage: Bacteria; Pseudomonadati; Thermodesulfobacteriota; Desulfobulbia; Desulfobulbales; Desulfocapsaceae.
UGGGGAUGACGUCAAGUCCUCAUGGCCUUAUGACCAGGGCUACACACGUACUACAAUGGCAGGUACAAAGGGCAGCCACUUAGCGAUAAGGCGCGAAUCCCGUAAAACCUGUCUCAGUCCGGAUUGGAGUCUGCAACUCGACUCCAUGAAGUUGGAAUCGCUAGUAAUCGCAGAUCAGCACGCUGCGGUGAAUACGUUCCCGGGCCUU